AACCAACAAGAGAUCACCUGGAGAUUGGAGACUGAAGAAGCUGGUGGUGUAUUUCAAAAGCCUGAGAGGCAGAGGUGAAUGGUGUAGAUUUCAGUUUUAGUUUGAAGGCCUGAAAACCGGGAAUGCUAACGGCAGAAGAAGGAAUGUUCCAGCUCAAGCAGUCAAGCAGAAGAAAGAACUUCAAAUCUACAAAGGAAGAAAUAGAGUGAGACAAGAUGAGAAGCAGCAAGAAAUUCCACUGAUUUUAUAUCUCUUUGCUCUGAUUUCUGUGACAUGGCUUUGGGGAGGACUACACAUGGCCUACAGACACUUCUGGAUGUUGGUUCUCUUUGUCAUUUUCAACAGUCUGCAGGGACUUUAUGUUUUCGUGGUUUAUUUCAUUUUACACAACCAAAUGUGUUGCCCUAUGAAGGCCAGUUACACUGUGGAAAUGAAUGGGCAUCCUGGACCCAGCACAGCCUUUUUCACGCCCGGGAGUGGAAUGCCUACUGCUGGAGGGGAAAUCAGCAAGUCCACCCAGAAUCUCAUCAGUGCUGUGGAGGAGGUGCCACCUGACUGGGAGAGAGCAUCCUUUCAACAGGCCAGUCAGGCCAGCCCUGAUUUAAAGCCAAGUCCACAAAAUGGAGCCAUGUUCCCGUCCUCUGGAGGAUAUGGCCAGGGGUCACUGAUAGCCGAUGAGGAGUCCCAGGAGUUUGAUGAUUUAAUAUUUGCAUUAAAAACUGGUGCUGGUCUCAGUGUCAGUGAUAAUGAAUCUGGUCAAGGCAGCCAGGAGGGGGGCACCUUGACUGACUCCCAGAUCGUGGAGCUCAGGAGGAUACCCAUCGCCGACACUCACCUCUAGCACCUCACUAACCAUUCGACUUAGCACACUUUCAUGUUUGUAUCAGCUUUUGUGCUAAAACUCUCUAAGUACGUCCACCUGUGUAAUAGGAACCUGUGAAUUGUACUGGAUGAUUAACACAAACGUGAUUGUUGUAUUUGGAGUAUAAAUUACUGAUUGUAUGUGACCUGAAAAUUCACUGCUAUAAGAAAGAUGGAGUCAGUUUGUAUCAGUUAAUAGGAUGUUCAUAUUCCAAGAAUAUUAGUUGUUUUUUUAAUCAUCCUAUAUGGCUAACAUUGUUUAAUGAAAGUAAUAAUCAAUAAAGCAAUAGAAUCUAUUCGGUAUGA
Molecule: small RNA, 1167 nt
Filed under: Pongo abelii (Sumatran orangutan)
Lineage: Eukaryota; Metazoa; Chordata; Mammalia; Primates; Hominidae
Description: processed transcript
Source: RNAcentral